AGGUAUAAAGGUAACCACUAAUUUUAUGACAUAUAUUAUGAGUGCCCAACUCCAGUUGUAAUAGAUAAUAUAUAGUUCACAAAUAUUAUUGAUAGGCAGAUAUGUUUAUGCUUGAGUUUCAUAGCCAUGGUGAAACUAUUCUCUGACAUUUAUUUAUGAUACAAACAUGAUAUUUUAUAAAUUUUAGUGUAGUGACACUGGGAAAAUGGACUUCUUGAUAGAAAUCUUGGCAGUGGAAAAAAGAACAGACCCAAAUGCAGCCAUGAACAAAAGCACAAAUUCUCAGUGGGAAUUUGGCCUCUUGAGUUCCCUUCUACUUGAUUUCUACCUCCAGCUUGAAUUCUUUUCCAAUAAGAAGUGACAAUUUAGAAACUUGUACACUCACAUACUCAGAGGAGCUAUCAAAAUGUGACUUCAUAACUGCAUUAGUCAUUGAACUUGUCCUAUUCACAAUAUUCAACUCUUUCUCUGACAAAUCCAUUCUAUUAAACUUCUGAUGCUUGGGUAUCCCCAAGAAAGUUACCUUGUCUAUGAUCCACCUUUGGUCCAGAGCAAAUCUUCCAUUAGUCACCUUAGAUGUAAUAACAACGCUAUUGUUCUGUAUAGCCCCAUAAAACCUUACCAAGGUCCACUCAUAUUUCACUCCUGCUACGUCUAAUGCUUCCCCAUUAUCCAAAUACACUUCACCAUAACUAUUUCCACUGCCACUGAUAACUACCACAAGUUCAAAUGCAGUUUUCCGGGCAGCAUCAGUUGUCAAUGCUUCUCCUUGCAAGGCCAAAACAUUACCUUCCCCAACAUGCACAUUUAUGUGAUCAGGUGGAGCAUCAAGAGUCACAUACUUGCCUGAUUCUGCAAUCACUGAAUUUGAGACAUUAAAAAGGUCAAACCAGGUUCCUUUAGGAAAGUAUGCAUCAACAGUGGUUGCCCCAGAUUGUAGUACAGGUGAUACCAGAACCCCUUUGCCUAAUAGAAACUGAGAGCUUAUUUCAUACGUUGUGACAUCCUCGGGGAAUGAAAAGAAAAGAGGCCGUGCAAUGGGUAUCCCUUUUGUAUGUGCUUCAUACAUUAGUGUGUAGAAAUAAGGGAGAAGACGGUAACGAAGUCCAAGCACUUUCCUAGCUGAUGCUGCAACUGAUUCCCAAAUGUAAAGCUCUUGUCUGAUGGAGUUUAUAUCUGAAUGAUCUCUGGCAAAGGGGUAAAAAGCCCCCAACUGCAUUGAUAAAAAUAAAAGGAAUUAGAUGUGUAUGCAAUGGCAUUUCAAUGUUUCUUUCUCCAUUUUUUUCAACAAAACAAAAAUCAAAGUACUUUUAAGUUUUCACAAGUGACUACUUGUAUAUUUAGGCAAGGAAAGCAUUGAAUACUUUAUAACAUUUCAUUCUAUAAAAAUACCUUUCUAUACUACUGCAUUUGAGGAUCAAUGUUACCUGGAUCCAGCGCCGGCAAAGUUCUUCAGUUGUAUUUCCACCGAAACCACAUAUAUCUGCUCCAACCAUUGGAAUCCCAAAGAUUCCAGAAUUUAAUAUCGAUGGAAUUGAGUAUGCCAAAUCAUUCCAUGUAGCAGCGUUAUCUCCUGUCCAAUGUGCAGCAUACUUACCAGAACUUACAAAAGUUGAUCUACUCAGAAUGAAGGGCCUUUUACCAGUUAUAUUCACCAGUUCCUCGUUAGUUACUUUGGAUUCUAAUAGUCCAUACAAAUUGUGGGCAUUAUACUCAGUGAUGUUACCGUAGUGUAAAGAUGUGGCUGGGACUGUUCUGUAAUUAAUGGAUCGUACAAUUCCACCAUUGUUAAUUUUGUAAGGAGGGUUAUCAAGAUUAGAAGAUGGAAUGGGAGGAGAAGUGAUGAAAUUAGAUAAUUCAUUCAUGUCAAGCCAAAGACCAUCAAAAGGAAGAAGGUCCCUAAAUAAUUUGAUUUCCCCACCCCAAAAUAAUUGGCUUUGAGGGUUAAGAAAAUCAGGGUAAUAAACUGGUCCAGGCCAAACUUCACCAAGAUAAUUGGUUCCGUUUCUCUUUAUGUAGACAUCAGCCUUCAAGCCUCUGACAUAGGUUGCAUAUGUCUCAUUUACAUUGAUACCUGUUUCCACAAUCUGCCAACAAUUAAUAAAUAAAAGAUGCAUAUACGUACUCAACCGUUUAGAGCAUAAUAUGAUUUUUAUCUUGUGUCAAAAUUAAGUACCUGGAUCCAAGAUAAGCACGUAUUUCUGACCAUUUUGAUGAAGAGUGUCAACAAAGCUUCUCAUCUUAUCCAGCGGAAAGUUGAUGGGAUCUAAGGUGAAAUCUUUAAAUGAGUCCAUGUAAUCAAUAUCCGUCCACAUAACUUCAAGGGGUAUAGCUGCUUUUGCAUAGUUGGCAACCACACUCUGUAUAUCACUUACAUUCUUGUAUCCCCAUCGACACUGAUGAAAACCUUCAGAAGAGACAAAAAAUAAUGUGGAAUAACAAGGCAUUUGAUAUAACGGAUUGACAUGAAUAGAUAAAAGGAAACUACAACUAAUUAACAAUUAGAUUGGGAUUCACUGCACAUGUUAGGAGUAAAUUAUGUUAUUUAGUAACACAAUAUGGAAACUACAAGAUAAUAAGUUCAUUGACUUACCAAAGGACCAAUAAGGCAUUGGAGCAGGUCUGCCAAUGAGAUCAGUGUAUUGCUCCAACACCAGUUCCGGAGAAGAUCCAGCGAAAAAGUAAAGAUCAAAAAUCCCACCAAUGGCCUUAUAAGUAAUGCGAUCACCACCAUACACAAUAUCCAUUCCAUUGCUGUUGAGCAGCAACACCCCAUGUGAUGUGCCAGCCCUCACUCUUCCAUCUGGGGAGGGUGAUCUCACGUCCAAGUAAAAAGGNUGAGAGCCAUAAAGGUUGACGUCCGGGUUGGCGCUUGCAAUAUCUGCAUUCCACAGUGUAAGGGUCUGGUUGGGUCGGAGCUUGAAGGAGCUCUUGGUGUGUUCCCCNAGGCCGUAAAGAGAGGCUCUUUGUGGCGGGAGGGAGGAGGAGAGCUGCAAGUACUGGUCUUUGAAGACAAGAAAAGUCUGAGGGUUGGAAGGGUCUGGUGCGGCAUUAAAGAGAACAUCGCUGGAGGAUUUGCGCGACAGAGUGAAGCCAAAUGGGGUGGUGUUGUGGAGGGUGAAAAGAAGGUCUGAGUGUGGAUGUGUGAGAGUGAGAGACUGUGGAGAAGAACCAUGGAGGUGGCGAUGAGGUUGAUACUGAGAAGGGGAGACUCUGGGAAUGAGACGCUGUGGAAUUUCCCAUCUUUUGUUGUUGGAGUCAGUGAUUCUGAGUCUGAACCUAUCCUUGUUCUCAAAGCUUCGAUAUCCAAAACAAAAAACAGUGAUUUAUGUAAGUAGAUAGAUGAUAAAGUGUUAAGAAAAGGUAAUUGGUGGUUGUUACCUUGCAUCAAGGGAGAGGUGAGGAAUGUCGGGUCCGAACAGAGAGGAAGGUUUGAUGAGGUUAAGGUGUGCAAUGAAAGAGUUGUUUUUUGGAUAAGCAUGAAGAGACGAGAUGGUGUAGCCAUAUCCAAGUGGUGAUGAAGCUGAGCAGAAGAAGAUAAGAGAAAGAAAGAUAGAGAGAGAGAAGAGUACAAGAGCGAGAAAAGUGGGUGCAGCCAUGUGUUGAAUGUAAAAUGAAGGGAAUGAUGUUGGAGGGAGGCAUCAAAAAAAGGAAGGAAUCGAAGCUGAGUUGACGCACAUGUCUUUUUACAAGACCUUUACUUCUAGGAACCAACGACCAAGGUAUGUUCGCCCAACUAUAAUAUAAUCGAAACAUGCAUGAUGGGUUCUUGUGAAUGUAAUUCUGCAUUUUGUUCAGUGGUAUUUCGGAACAUGUAUUCAUUCAUAUUUAGUAUGUGAAUUUUAUCCUUGUAAUAAUUAACUAUUAUCAUAAUAUAUAAAAUUGUCUCUGUUAUGAUUAAAAUAAUAUAGAGAAUAACUUAAAUAAAUUUAAUAACUUUCUUUCUGAAGUAACAUAUAUUAAGUAUAUUUUAUUAUAAUAAUUGAGUGUAAUGCUUACCUUUUAUUUUGUCCUCUGGAAUGGGUAUACAACCAAGUUGCUGACUUCAAAAAUAAAAUUGAGUACUUCAAUGUAUAGUAUAAAAAAAUCAUCUUCUUCUUACUAUAUUUAGUGUAUAACAAAUCCUCUUUUUUUUAAUGAUGUUAGAUAACCAAAUUCUUAAAAAUAAUCAUCAACAAAAGCAAAUAAUUUUAACUUAUAUUUAACAUUUAAAGGAUAUUUUAAAAUAAAAUAUUAUUAUAAAAUUUAUCAUUUCAUUGGCUAUUCAUUAUAUACUUUGUAUUCUUCAAUUAUAAAUUUAUUCAUUUAAAUUUAGUUAAGCCACCUACUUCUUAAAGGUCAUAGUUUAAGUCUAAUUUAUUUUUAUAAUAAGAAAAUAUUCUCUUAAAAAAAUGUUGUUGUUUUAUAUAAUAAGUAUAGAGUUUAAGUAGAUAGGAUGCUUUUGUGGAAAUAAUGUGAAUCCUAUCAAUAGUGCAUUGCUAGCCUGCAUGCAACUAAAUUGUGAGCAAUUACCAUUACUAGAUAAUACUCAUUUCUAUUAUUGACAGGAAGAUGUGAUCAUGCUUGAGCUUCAUAACCAUGUUCACACUAUUCUGUAACAUUUAUUUGUAACACAAAAAUUUACAUUUUAUGGAUGUUGGGGCUGUGACCUGAGAAAAUCAAAUCUUUAACAGUAACCAUGCCACUGGUAAGAAAAAAGGCCUCAGAGAUGCAACCAUAAAGAAAGCACAAAUUCUCGGUGGGAAUUCGCUAUCUUAAAAGGUACCCUUCUACUUGAUUUCUACCACCAGCUUGAAUUCCUCUCCAAUAAGAAGUGACAAUUUAGAAACUUGUACACUCACAAACUCAGAGGAGGUAUCAAAAUGUGAUUUCAUAACUGCAUUAGUCAUUGAACUUGUUCUAUUCACAAUAUUCAACUCUUUCUCUGACAAAUCCAUUCUAUUGAAUUUCUGAUGCUUGGGUAUCCCCAAGAAAGUUAUCUUGUCUAUGAUCCACCUUUGGUCCAGAGCAAAUCUUCCAUUAGUCACCUUAGAUGUAAUAACAACGCUAUUGUUCUGUAUAGCCCCGUAAAAGCUUACCAAUGUCCACUCAUAUUUCACCCCUGCUACGUCUAAUGCUUCCCCAUCAUCCAAAUACACUUCACCAUAACUAUUUCCACUGCCACUGAUAACUACCACAAGUUCAAAUGCAGUUUUCCGGGCAGCAUCAGUCGUCAAUGCUUCUCCUUGCAAGGCCAAAACAUUACCUUCCCCAACAUGCACAUUUAUGUGAUCAGGUGGAGCAUCAAGAGUCACAUACUUGCCUGAUUCUGCAAUCACUGAAUUUGAGACAUCAAAGAGGUCAAACCAGGUUCCUUUAGGAAAGUAUGCAUCAACAGUGGUUGCCCCAGAUUGUAGUACAGGUGAUACCAGAACCCCUUUGCCUAAUAGAAACUGAGAGCUUAUUUCAUACGUUGUGACAUCCUCGGGGAAUGAAAAGAAAAGAGGCCGUGCAAUGGGUAUCCCUUUUGUAUGUGCUUCAUACAUUAGUGUGUAGAAAUAAGGGAGAAGACGGUANCGAAGUCCAAGCACUUUCCUAGCUGAUGCUGCAACUGAUUCCCAAAUGUAAAGCUCUUGUCUGAUGGAGUUUAGUUCCGAAUGAUCUCUGGCAAAGGGGUAAAAAGCCCCCAACUACAGUUCGAAAAACAAGACUUGUUAGAUAUGUAUGCCAUGACAUUUCAUAGUUCGUUUCUGCAUGCAUUUCCAACAAAGCAAUGGGUUUUCAAAAGUGACUAAUUUUAUCUUUAGGCUAGGAAAGCUAUGAACACAACAACAUUUCACAGUAUAAAAAUAUUACUCCAUACUACUGCAUCUGAGGGACAAUUUUACCUGGAUCCAGCGCCGGCAAAGUUCUUCAGUUGUAUUUCCACCAAAACCACAGAUAUCUGCUCCAACCAUUGGAAUUCCAAAGAUUCCAGAAUUUAAUAUCGAUGGAAUUGAAUAUGCCAAAUCGUUCCAUGUAGCAGCAUUAUCUCCUGUCCAAUGUGCAGCAUACUUACCAGAACUCACAAAAGUUGAUCUAGUUAGGAUGAAUGGCCUUUUACCAGUUAUAUCCACUAAUGCCUUGUUAGUAACUUUGGAUUCUAGUAGUCCAUACAAAUUGUGGGCAUUGUACUCAGUGACAUUACCAUAGUGCAAAGAUGUUGCUGGGACUGUUCUGUCAUUAAUGGGUCGUUGGUCUCCAACAUUGUUAAUUUUAUAGGGAGGGUUAUCAAGACUAGAAGACGGAAUGGAGGGAGAAGUGAUGAAAUUAGAUAACUCAUUCAUGUCAAUCCAGAGACCAUCAAAAGGCAGCUGAUCCCUAAAUAAUUUGAUUUCCCCACCCCAAAAUGCUUGGCUUCCAGGGUUUAGGAAAUCGGGGUAAUAAACUUCUCCAGGCCAAACUUUACCAAGAUAGUUACUUCCAUUUCUCUUUAUGUAGAUAUCAGCCUUCAAACCUCUAAUAUAGGUUUCAUAUGUCUCAUUUACACUGAUACCUGUUUCCAAAAUCUGCCUCAAAUUAAUGAAAUAUGUAAUGAUGCAUCAUCAAACACUAAGAGCAGAGUAUAGUUUUAGAGAUUUGACAGAAUUUCUAUGGUGUCAAAACUAUGUACCUGGAUCCAAGAUAAGUACGUAUUUCUGACCAUUUUUGUGAAGAGUGUCAACAAAACUUCUCAUCUUCUCCAGCGGAAAGUUGAUGGGAUCAAAUGUAAAAUCUUUAUAUGCAUCCAUAUAAUCAAUAUCUGUCCACAUUACUUCAAGGGGUAUAGCUGCUUUUGCAUAGUUAGCAACCACACCCUGGAGAUCACUUACAUUCUUGUAGCCAUAUCGACACUGAU
Molecule: long non-coding RNA, 6856 nt
Filed under: Vigna radiata
Lineage: Eukaryota; Viridiplantae; Streptophyta; Magnoliopsida; Fabales; Fabaceae
Description: long non-coding RNA (VRAD_LNC010632)
Source: RNAcentral